RNAcentral lists this ribosomal RNA (940 nucleotides) under Clostridium perfringens. RNAcentral describes it as "partial 23S ribosomal RNA". It matches the Rfam family "Bacterial large subunit ribosomal RNA", at positions 521 to 1464 of the family's 2925-position model. The record is from RNAcentral. Lineage: Bacteria; Bacillati; Bacillota; Clostridia; Eubacteriales; Clostridiaceae.
GAACCCCGGGAGGGGAGUGAAAUAGAACCUGAAACCGUGUGCCUACAACCGCUCAGAGCCCCUUAUGAGGGUGAUGAGGUGCUUUUUGUAGAACGAGCCAACGAGUUACGGUAUGUAGCAAGGUUAAGUACUUAAGGUACGGAGCCGAAGGGAAACCGAGUCUGAAUAGGGCGACUAGUUGCAUGCCGUAGACCCGAAACCGGGUGACCUAUCCAUGGCCAGGUUGAAGCGAGGGUAAAACCUCGUGGAGGACCGAACCACGUUGCUGUUGAAAAAGCAUGGGAUGAGCUGUGGAUAGCGGAGAAAUUCCAAUCGAACCCGGAGAUAGCUGGUUCUCUCCGAAAUAGCUUUAGGGCUAGCGUCGAGUAUGAGUAGUGGAGGUAGAGCACUGAAUGGGCUAGGGGGCAUAGCGCUUACCGAACCUUAUCAAACUCCGAAUGCCACAUACUUUGAGCUCGGCAGUCAGACUACGAAUGAUAAGAUCCGUGGUCAAAAGGGAAACAGCCCAGAUCGUCAGCUAAGGUCCCAAAGUGUAAGUUAAGUGGGAAAGGAUGUGAGAUUUCUAAGACAACUAGGAUGUUGGCUUAGAAGCAGCCAUUCAUUAAAAGAGUGCGUAAUAGCUCACUAGUCGAGAGAUCUUGCGCCGAAAAUGUAACGGGGCUAAACUUACCACCGAAGCUACGGGCUUGAACUUAGUUCAAGCGGUAGGAGAGCGUCGUAACCGGGCUGAAGUCGUACCGUAAGGAGCGGUGGACUGGUUACGAGUGAGAAUGUUGGCAUCAGUAGCGAGAUGUGGGUGAGAAUCCCACAGGCCGAAAACCUAAGGUUUCCUCAGGAAGGUUCGUCCGCUGAGGGUUAGUCGGGACCUAAGCCGAGGCCGAAAGGCGUAGGUGAUGGACAACUGGUUGAUAUUCCAGUACCACUACCAUCGUUAUUAUCG